GAGGAAACGAAAGCGAGAUGCAAAUUGUGGGAGGUGAAAGAGGCAAAACAUGCCUGAGGCCUUCCUCUUACAGCGGCUUUACCUCUUCUUAUCCCCCCCAGGAGGACGCUGGAGCUGGUGGGCAGGGGCAGCUCUGGGUCACGGCUCUGUUUGGGACCCUGGGGCAGCUUCACCAAGGUGCACCACUAUCCUCCUAGCUGAGCAGCACCCCAACCCAUGGAAGGAAAAUAGAGCUCCUGUCCUGAGGAAAACCUUCUCUCCAAGAAUCAAGCUCUUUCUCCUCCUGGACCUCCCAGUGCUUAUCCAAGGGCCCAGGGCCCAGGUGAGGGAUGUUUUGAGUCCUGUGGGACCAUCAGCAUCUAACUGCUGCAUGGAUGGAUGCUCCUGUGCCGUGGCACUGCUAACGAGCUGGCAACCUGUUUGAUCACUGCUGUGACCAGAAGGUGGGGAAAAAGGCACGCUGAUCUUAUAGUUCAGACUGUACUGCAUAUGAAUAUGGCCAAGGUACUGUACGUAUCAGAAAUGUCACUACAUAAUAAAGGUGUGCUGAAUCCUGUACCCCUGGGUGGGAAAGUGUUGGGGGAGAUGUGUAUGGGCAGGGGUGAGCAGGAUGCUGGAGAGCAGGGUGCUGGAGAACAUCGAGUGCUGCUUGGUCCCAGCACAAGGUGCUGAGGCAGAACAAGGGUGGUGGGGGCAACACUGUGGGAGCACUGCAGAGGAAGGCAGGCAGGCCAGCGUAAGGACCCCUUCAUGGAGAGAACCAGGAGCACACUGGCCCAGCUGCGCUCCCCCUCACUAAGGUCAACCACUGAGUUUGAUGUACCAGCCUCUCUAUUUCUUUUCCCUGCCUUCCUAGGGAAUGGGAAAGAUUUGGGCUCGACCAGGAGAUGUCUCUGUUAAGCCGUGUCAAGCUGAGCAGGACUGUGCUGAGAAAGCCCAGAUCUUCAGCAAGCCAGGGGCUGCUGCUGGUGGGGGAACCCUCCCUUCAAUCCACACCACCUCUGCCUCCCCAAAACCUCAAAUUUAGCAGCCCAGAGAGAACAGCACCUUGUUACAAUCCUGUGGGAGCUAUCAAAAUGCUGUUUCCAUUUGCAAAAGCUUGGGCAGAGGUAGAGGUUUGCCUGGCUGCCAAGGCGGGCUGCAGCAGCUCUGGCCUGGAAAGCACCUUUUCCCUGCACUCUGCCCAUUGCCAUGUCCUCCUUGGCGAGGAGGAGACCUUAUUCUUCAUCAAGCUGUUUCUGGCUCCCUGCCUCAGUGCCUAAUUUGCCUGAAUGGGUGGGAGUAGAGGGUGUUUAGUAGCAUGAAAGCAGGUGGGAGUUUUAAUCUGCUACAGAUUAGUAGGCAGUGCAAUUACAGAGACGGUUCUUGGGGGUGUCCCGCCUCCAAAAUGUGGCUCAGGUGAGAUAAGCAGAGAAGAGGAAUUAUUCUAUUUCUCCAGCUAUAUUAAUGCAAGCUGACCAGAGCCAUGGCUCCCAACCCCAUUAACCUCACUACUCUUUUUGUGCUCUCAGCAAUUUGAAGGGAGAGGGUCAAAAAGUCUAUUGCUGUGAUGCACUUCUAGCUUGGGCACUUGGGUUGUGCUAGGCAUCCAAAUUCAGGAUGUUGGAUUGAAGAAAACCAAUUUUGUGUGCCUGAUGCCCCAAAUACCUGGCUUGGACAGCUUUUUGGCCCUGUUUUUUUUUUUUUUUUUUUUUUUUUUUUUUUUUUUUUGGAGCUGGUUUUGCUACAGGAGGGCUGCAAGCUCCCCUGUUACAGUGUAUGGCAGAUGUGGCUACUGGUGCUGGUUGGCUAUACCCUCAUUGCCAAAUAUCAUUAGAUCCAAAUAUCCUCAAAUAUCAUUAGAGAAGCCACUUGGUGAGACAGUCAAAACCCUCAUUUUGAACCAUCUGGGAAUCCAAACUCAUGUAUUUUCAGAUUACAAAAUAUCCCUGCAGAAGGCAUCACUAUCUUUAUCCAUGAUGGGCUGCAGGGAUGCUCUUGCUUCUGGGACCUUAUUUUGGGGAUGAAACAUGGGAUGCUGCAGUCCUUGGCCGCAUGCUGCCUGGGGCUGGGCUCACUCACGGGUGGAGACGCUGUCGGAGGCAGGGGGGCUCCUGGCUUGGUCCUUGAGGGCCACCACGGUGACGGUGUACUCCUCACCCGGCUUCAGCCCCGUCUGGUUGAAGGUGGUGACGGUGCUGGGGAGCUGGGCGAUCACACCGCCCUCGUUGUUCUGCCAGGGGACGGGGUGAGAAAAAGCAUCGAGAAUGAGAAAUGGGUUAAAACACACACACACACACAAAGCUUUUUAAGGAUGAAUACAGGCGGGUUCCACACAUCCAGUCCUAUACCCCUCACACUGAUAUGUCCCACCAUGGAGAUGUAGAGCCUGGGGUGAAGUCACCCACGAAGUGUGAAGCACCCAAGAUUUUAGGCUGAGAAAUCCUUCCCCAUCCCCUUUUUCUCUUCCUCCUCCUAGCCCCCCCCCCCCCAACCUCUUCCCCCUCCUUUCUGUACUUUGCCAUCUGUAUAUCUGCUGUUCCCCAGAACAUGAAAAGAUAAUAAAAAACAAACCCUGCACUCCUUUUGCCUGCAUGGCUGUUAUUCAGGUGCCAGGAGCUUUCAGCAUUUCAUACAGGGAUGAAACCGUAACAUCUUUAUUUUGGCACCCUGUCCUUUUUAAGUAUAUUGAUUAAAUUUGCUAUACUUUGUGUUUUGUGCUCUGAAAAACCCAAGUCUUUUAAGUAACUGCAAAUGUCACCUUCCCUGCCAGUGUUUGGACAAUGGAUCUUUUCUUGCUGCUGUCUUCACCAAUGAUGCACUAAACAAAUCUCUGCACAUAGCUCUCAAUUCAUAUUAAUCUAUUUUUCUCAUUAAACAGGAAAUCUUCCAUUUUAUCCAUAAAUUGCCAUCUUACCUUUCCUAAUUUUCUUGUCUAAAUCUGUCAUCACUUCUGCUUUUCACUGAUCACCAUGCAGAGCUGGUCUCAUUACCCCAGAUAUCUCUGCGUUGGUUUUAGUUCCCAUUUCUUCCCCCAGUACAAGCAGCAGAUGUGCAAUCCCCACCUGAGACAGUUUUUGGGGACCAAUAGCAAUGUGGGGGUGCAGAAAGUGGCUUGCUCAGGGGGAGGGUGUGCACACCCCUGUGGGGCCACCAAGGACAAAAUUAGUGUCCUCACACCCUGUUUUUGGAAAGGCAGAUUGACCUCGAUUUGCAAGCCCACAGCAUAGGGGUUAUUUAUAACAACACUGCUUUACUGAUGUU
RNAcentral lists this long non-coding RNA (3243 nucleotides) under Anas platyrhynchos (mallard). Its description in RNAcentral is "lncRNA (ENSAPLG00020017410.1)". The record is from RNAcentral. Lineage: Eukaryota; Metazoa; Chordata; Aves; Anseriformes; Anatidae.